UACGGAGGGUGCAAGCGUUAUCCGGAUUUAUUGGGGUUAAAGGGUGCGUAGGCGGGUUGGUAAGUCAGUGGUGAAAUCUUCGAGCUUAACUCGGAAACUGCCAUUGAUACUAUCAGUCUUGAAUUAUCUGGAGGUAAGCGGAAUAUGUCAUGUAGCGGUGAAAUGCUUAGAUAUGACAUAGAACACCCAUUGCGAAGGCAGCUUACUACGGAUACAUUGACACUGAGGCACGAAAGCGUGGGGAUCAAACAGG
RNAcentral lists this ribosomal RNA (253 nucleotides) under uncultured bacterium. RNAcentral describes it as "partial 16S ribosomal RNA". It matches the Rfam family "Bacterial small subunit ribosomal RNA", at positions 524 to 776 of the family's 1533-position model. The record is from RNAcentral.